GUGGAGUAAACAGAAACUCAGUAGGGACUGGCACAAGAGCAUAUUCUGCAAAGCGGCAGAUGGACAUAAGUCUUUGGUUUUCCCUAUGUGCUGGGAGUGAAUGCGAUCAUUUUCUGCAAUUUGACCAGGGAUUGUACUCAGAGAAGGUACAUUAAAGCUGGAAGACCAAUUGGACUUAAAUAGUCCAUGAUUUUCGUGCUAUGGACAAGAGAGCUGAGACCAGCCUGGGUUAAGAGGCACAGUGACUAUGAAACAGAUGUAACUGCUUAUGUUCUGAACUCCAGCACUGCCUUAUAAUUCAAGAAUCCUGGAGAUCCAUAAGAAAUCUGAUGCCCUCUGAUUCUUGUUCAUUGGUAGGUAAUUUGGUUUUGUUUUUUCCCCUCUCUCUGGUCUUCUGAACCUCCAUGGAUAUAUGUGGGUUUUCAUUUCAUUUAUUGUCCUUGCCAUUCAGUAGUACCUUUCAGUGUUACCCUUCACGUGUGGGAAUUAUCUUCUCUUUAUAUGUACUCUUUACAAUUCCCUCCUGUGAUGGUUUCUGUAAACUUACUAUUUAAAAAAAUGCCUUUUAGUCUAUUGUUGGACAUCCAGAAUUGAUUCUCUAUUUCUUUCAUGUUCCUCUUCCCAUUUUUUAGUUGGAUUGUUUUUGUUUGCUUGUUAUUGGGUUGUAUGAGUUAUUUAUUUAUUUUGGCUAUUCAACCCUUAUGCAAUAUGUGGUUUGCAAAUAUUUUUACCCAUUCUGUAGAUUGCCUUUUCUUUUUGUCGAUUGUUUCU
Long non-coding RNA from Panthera uncia (snow leopard), 771 nucleotides. RefSeq lists it as uncharacterized. The transcript is spliced from 4 exons. The record is from RefSeq and is a predicted model, not a curated record. Lineage: Eukaryota; Metazoa; Chordata; Mammalia; Carnivora; Felidae.